GCCCAGCCGUAAGCAAUUAACUUACACCAAUCAGCGCCAGGGAACUACAAGCAAUGCUUAAAACCCAAAGGACUUGACGGUGUCCCACCCACCUAGAGGAGCCUGUUCUAUAAUCGAUAAUCCCCGCUUUACCUAACCAUCCCUUGGCUUUUCAGUCUGUAUACCUCCGUCGAAAGCUUACCAUGUGAACGUCCUCAGUAAGCUUAAUGACCCCAUCAAUACGUCAGGUCAAGGUGCAGCUCACGGAAUGGGAAGAAAUGGGCUACAAUUUCUAACCUAGAACAAACGAAAGGCUACGUGAAACCCUAGCCCCGAAGGCGGAUUUAGUAGUAAAAAGAAAAUAGAGAGUUCUUUUUAACCCGGCUCUGGGACGCGUACACACCGCC
RNAcentral lists this ribosomal RNA (386 nucleotides) under Glandirana tientaiensis (Tientai rough-skinned frog). RNAcentral describes it as "Rugosa tientaiensis (Tientai rough-skinned frog) partial 12S ribosomal RNA". It matches the Rfam family "Bacterial small subunit ribosomal RNA", at positions 794 to 1394 of the family's 1533-position model. The record is from RNAcentral. Lineage: Eukaryota; Metazoa; Chordata; Amphibia; Anura; Ranidae.